RNAcentral lists this ribosomal RNA (294 nucleotides) under Triticum aestivum (bread wheat). RNAcentral describes it as "partial small subunit ribosomal RNA". Lineage: Eukaryota; Viridiplantae; Streptophyta; Magnoliopsida; Poales; Poaceae. The record is from RNAcentral.
AUGACGGCGUUCCAGAGCAUGAUGUUGUUGUCGUGCGGCGCGCCGCUGAUCCCGGCCGGUGGGUCAUGCUGCAGCCGCUUGAAGUCCCGCAUCAGGCGCUUUCUCGACGGCGUCGACAUCUCCGCCGCCGGCGCAGACUCCUCGAACCCGCUAGGGCUCACGUACGCACGCACUCUCCCCGCCAGUCGCUUCGGCCAGGUUUAUUGCGUCCGGAAUAGACGAACGAGAGAAUGUGAGGACAUCUACAAUCUACAACAUGGGCAUACCGACGCGUCCCAAUCAUUUUCCCCUUAA